RNAcentral lists this ribosomal RNA (380 nucleotides) under uncultured eukaryote. Its description in RNAcentral is "partial 18S ribosomal RNA". It matches the Rfam family "Eukaryotic small subunit ribosomal RNA", at positions 592 to 976 of the family's 1831-position model. The record is from RNAcentral.
CAAUAGCGUAUAUUAAAGUUGUUGCGGUUAAAAAGCUCGUAGUUGGAGUUCUGCCAGGUGCCGUCUGUCCGCCCCAGUGGUGAGUACGUGACGCGCAUUUGGCCCUUUCAAGGGGAGCGUAUCUGCACUUUACUGUGUGGUGCGGGAUCCUUGACUUUUACUUUGAGGAAAUAGGAGUGUUCCAAGCAGGCUCUCGUCGUGCACAGCUCAGCAUGGAAUAAUAGCAUUGGACCUCGAUUCUAAGCUGUUGGUUGCCAGAAGCGAGGUAAUGAUGAAGAGGGAUAGUUGGGGGCAUUCGUAUUUAACUGUCAGAGGUGAAAUUCUUGGAUUUGUUAAAGGCGGACUACUGCGAAAGCAUCUGCCAUGGAUGUUUUCAUUGA